CAAACUGUUCUUUGAUGAUCGCCCCGCACCCUUCAAUCUUUUCAAUGGAUACCACACAUUAUGAAAAGAUUGAAGGGUGCGGGGAGGAACGUCCGGGCUCCAAGACCCGCCAGCUAUGGGCGGGUAAAGAACGUCAUGCGGGUAACGCCCGUCGCCGUGUUGCAUAUCAAAAGAACACGGUAGGACCAGUGUCACAGUGACGAUGCUCGUAUCAUUAUCAUCUGUAAAGAUGUCCAGAUAUGAGAGUGAAACGCCCUGGGAACCAGGGCCAUGCCUCACAUGUGAGGCAUGGAGAUAAACUCAUGAUGGAGCAAGGAGGACUUGGGUCAUUGGAAAAAAGAGAUGGUUCCGUCUCUCCUUUGUCCCCUCCGCACUGCGCCCAGCAGUGACGCGUUCGCGUCUGCUACUGGGCCGAGGUCAGCGAGUAAUCCUGAUCCCAGAGAGAUGAUCAUCGCUUCUUGAAAUUCACACUUCAAUGAAGAACAGAACCCGGCGUACGAGAACAGCCUGUGAA
RNAcentral lists this RNase P RNA (514 nucleotides) under Candidatus Peribacteria bacterium RIFCSPHIGHO2_01_FULL_49_38. RNAcentral describes it as "RNase P RNA component class A". It matches the Rfam family "Bacterial RNase P class A". Rfam says of the family: Ribonuclease P (RNase P) is a ubiquitous endoribonuclease, found in archaea, bacteria and eukarya as well as chloroplasts and mitochondria. Its best characterised activity is the generation of mature 5'-ends of tRNAs by cleaving the 5'-leader elements of precursor-tRNAs. Cellular RNase Ps are ribonucleoproteins. Lineage: Bacteria; Candidatus Peregrinibacteriota; Candidatus Peribacteria. The record is from RNAcentral. RNAcentral also lists the same sequence under 1 other name.